UCUCUUCAUUCACUGCAAAUAAAUACAGACGCUGUUGAGCCCUCUUGGCAAUAGAAGCACAAUGAGGUAAAUGAGUAACAAGCACCCCUCUGGAAAGUGAGGAUGAAUUAAUGGGAAAAAGCCCAAAUGCCGCUCCUAUGAAGUGAUCAACAGAACGGUCCGCAGACACCCCUGCUAAGGAUGAUGGGAGAAUCGACAUGGUUCAGAAAUUACUUAUGGCUUUAUUUGAUUCGAUAAGGUGAUAAAGUCAUGAUGAUGUGAUGUAUGAGGUGAGGUAAUAGUAAGAGAAAAGUAUGGAAGACGAUGAAUGGUUUACUUGAUUGCUCACUCCAUGAACGGAGACAUUUGUGCGUAACUCUGUGCAAAUUAAGAAACGUUCUGUAUUCUCAUCUAGGCCCUAUGACCACCUUUUUUGAAGAUAAAGGGAAGUUUUUUUUUCCAUGACAUGUGCUG
Erpetoichthys calabaricus (reedfish) is the source of this 453-nucleotide long non-coding RNA. RefSeq lists it as uncharacterized. The record is from RefSeq and is a predicted model, not a curated record. The transcript has 3 exons. NCBI's taxonomy places the organism in Eukaryota, Metazoa, Chordata, Cladistia, Polypteriformes, Polypteridae.